This 497-nucleotide ribosomal RNA is filed under the name uncultured bacterium. RNAcentral's name for it is "partial 16S ribosomal RNA". It matches the Rfam family "Bacterial small subunit ribosomal RNA", at positions 28 to 507 of the family's 1533-position model. The record is from RNAcentral.
GAUGAACGCUGGCGGCGUGCCUAAUACAUGCAAGUCGAGCGAACAGAUGAGGAGCUUGCUCCUCUGACGUUAGCGGCGGACGGGUGAGUAACACGUGGAUAACCUACCUAUAAGACUGGGAUAACUUCGGGAAACCGGAGCUAAUACCGGAUAAUAUAUUGAACCGCAUGGUUCAAUAGUGAAAGACGGUUUUGCUGUCACUUAUAGAUGGAUCCGCGCCGCAUUAGCUAGUUGGUAAGGUAACGGCUUACCAAGGCAACGAUGCGUAGCCGACCUGAGAGGGUGGUCGGCCACACUGGAACUGAGACACGGUCCAGACUCCUACGGGAGGCAGCAGUAGGGAAUCUUCCGCAAUGGGCGAAAGCCUGACGGAACAACGCCGCGUGAGUGAUGAAGGUCUUCGGAUCGUAAAACUCUGUUAUUAGGGAAGAACAAAUGUGUAAGUAACUAUGCACGUCUUGACGGUACCUAAUCAGAAAGCCACGGCUAACUACGUG